AGGGUUUGAUUCUGGCUCAGGAUGAACGCUGGCGGCGUGCUUAACACAUGCAAGUCGAGCGAAGCAAUUUAAAUGAGACUUCGGUGGAUUUUAGAUUGACUGAGCGGCGGACGGGUGAGUAACGCGUGGAUAACCUGCCUCACACAGGGGGAUAACAGUUAGAAAUGACUGCUAAUACCGCAUAAGCGCACGGCAUCGCAUGAUGCAGUGUGAAAAACUCCGGUGGUGUGAGAUGGAUCCGCGUCUGAUUAGGUAGUUGGUGAGGUAACGGCCCACCAAGCCGACGAUCAGUAGCCGACCUGAGAGGGUGACCGGCCACAUUGGGACUGAGACACGGCCCAA
This 342-nucleotide ribosomal RNA is filed under the name uncultured bacterium. RNAcentral's name for it is "bacterial SSU rRNA". It matches the Rfam family "Bacterial small subunit ribosomal RNA", at positions 8 to 334 of the family's 1533-position model. The record is from RNAcentral.